Molecule: long non-coding RNA, 1639 nt
Organism: Pogona vitticeps (central bearded dragon)
Lineage: Eukaryota; Metazoa; Chordata; Lepidosauria; Squamata; Agamidae
Product: centrosomal protein of 290 kDa-like
Source: Ensembl
GCCCUGCCCCAAAAUAAGCCCCCCGUUGAGUGAAAUCCUGGCCUCCACCACUGUGCAGCAACCAGAAGAAAAUGAUACGACUGUGUUUGAAUAAAUGUAGCUUGUUGUACAUGGAAAAAAAAAUAUCCCCUGAAAAUAAGCCCUAAAAAAUUUAUGUAAGACCCUGUCUUAUUUUUGGGGAAACACAGAGUAUUAAACUGACUUAAUAUCACAGACACACAUAAUUACGAUUGUAACAUGCUGGUAUUUAAUUCUAUAAGUAUGAAUGUGGAUGGUAACUCUUGCAAGGGUUUAACGAUACUUGAAGGAAACUGACAUUCAUCCCAAAAGUCAGCCUACGUAAUCCUUUAUUAUUACAUUUCUCCGCCAGGGCACAAAACAAUUUUAGGCCCCAAGCGUAACUAACACCCAGUCACCAUGGCAAACAAGAAGCGGAUGUUUGAUAGGGGACCUAAAUCGCCUAGUGAUGAGCUCACCGAGUUAGUUCUAUUCGCCUUUCUUUUUCAAAAAAUAAUAUUCCCCCUCUACUGUCCACGGAUUAAGAGCUUGGACCGUCCCUGUGAAGAAGCACAGCUGCAAAAUAUCAUUUGAAUGCAACAGAAAUAGUUCAAUCCGCUUUUGACUCCCCGCUGCCGAUAGAACGUCGUAGGCUCAGACGGGUUAAAGGAAACCAGACAGGCGCUGCUUUGGACAGCCCAUUUUGGGGCUUUCCCGUGCAUUGUGAACUGGUCUUAGAAAAGAGGUUUAUGGCUUGAGGCGUUAAACUUCAAGGCUUUGAGAGUUCCUGGUUUGGAUGGGCUGUCGGGCUCCGCCCCCUCAGUUUCAUUGGUUGCAUUGUUCCCUCGGGGGCGUGGGUGAGCCACGUAACCCUGCCCUCGGAUGUUUGGUUUCCGUUCAGUGUGGGAAUCGGUGGAAGGGAAGCGAAUGGCUUUGCCCUCAGUUCACAGGUGCCUCCAAUGUGCUGGUUCAAACAGAUGGGAUUAACCAGAAGGAACAUGAAAUAGUAAAGAAAAAUGCUCGGGUACUCCAGAUGUACAACAAUUUGCAGAAAAGGUACAAUAAAGAAGUAAAAAUAAACCAAGGACAAAGUGAAACAAUUGCAACACUUUCUGCUAAAAUUAAUGAACUGGAACAUCAGCUUCGGUUAGCAAAACAAAAAGUGAUGGCAUUGGAAAGCAAGAUUCCAGCAAAGAACAAAACAGUUCAGUUGAAAAGAAAAGUUUCAUCUCAUAAAUGCAUGUGUAAAAAGAAGGGGAGCUGUUCUUGCAAAUAUUUAGACCAGUUGCUUGUUGAGAUUCAGCGUCUGAAGAUGGAAAAUGAAACUAUAUCGAAAGAAAGAAGAAUGUUGAGAAAUGAAAUUGCUGCUUUAGACAAGGAUUUUUUUGAUGAAAUAGAAGAUUUAAAAUAUGCUCUUCAAGAAGCCAUAAAAAUGAAUACUCGGUAUGAAAGGUGUUUGAAACAACUAAGUUCAACUUAUGGAGUUACCCUUACAUCAACUUUGCCAGCUGCUAAACAUCGAGGAUCUCUAUAGAAACAGAAUUCAACCAAGAUUAUUAUUAAACUGAAAGUACUGUCGAAAAUUACUUAUUAGGAUAGCAUUAUGUUCAAUAAAAUCAUGUCUAAUUUUUAAACUUUUGCA